CGUUGCCUCGGCGGAUCAGCCCGCGCCCUGUAAAACGGGACGGCCCGCCCGAGGACCCUAAACUCUGUUUUUAGUGGAACUUCUGAGUAAAACAAACAAAUAAAUCAAAACUUUCAACAACGGAUCUCUUGGUUCUGGCAUCGAUGAAGAACGCAGCAAAAUGCGAUAAGUAAUGUGAAUUGCAGAAUUCAGUGAAUCAUCGAAUCUUUGAACGCACAUUGCGCCCGCCAGUAUUCUGGCGGGCAUGCCUGUUCGAGCGUCAUUUCAACCCUCAAGCUCAGCUUGGUGUUGGGACUCGCGGUAACCCGCGUUCCCCAAAUCGAUUGGCGGUCACGUCGAGCUUCCAUAGCGUAGUAAUCAUACACCUCGUUACUGGUAAUCGUCGCGGCCACGCCGUAAAACCCCAACUUCUGAAUGUUGACCUCGGAUCAGGUAGGAAUACCCGCUGAACUUAAGCAUAUCAAUAAGCGGAGGAUUCG
Molecule: ribosomal RNA, 479 nt
Filed under: uncultured fungus
Lineage: Eukaryota; Fungi
Description: eukaryotic LSU rRNA
Rfam family: 5.8S ribosomal RNA (bases 109-262)
Source: RNAcentral